Molecule: ribosomal RNA, 253 nt
Filed under: uncultured bacterium
Lineage: Bacteria
Description: partial 16S ribosomal RNA
Rfam family: Bacterial small subunit ribosomal RNA
Source: RNAcentral
CACGUAGGGGACGAGCGUUGUCCGGAUUCAUUGGGCGUAAAGAGCGUGUAGGCGGCUCGAUAAGUCCGCUGUGAAAGUCCAGGGCUCAACCCUGGAAGGCCGGUGGAAACUGUCGGGCUAGAGUCCGGAAGAGGCGAGUAGAAUUCCUGGUGUAGCGGUGGAAUGCGCAGAUAUCAGGAGGAACACCAAUGGCGAAAGCAGCUUUCUGGGACGGUACUGACGCUGAGACGCGAAAGCGUGGGGAGCGAACAGG